GGGCUCUCUGAUGUUUCCUUGCAACAGCUCAAGUAUGCAUGCUGCUAAAAUAUUGGCCAAAGGAGAUGUUUAAGAGCAUGUGAUGGAGUUGGGGCUUCUGAUCCUCUGUCUGGGUGCCGUCCUCACAGGGAGCGGAGCAAAGCGAAGCCGAACUCCCCUCUUCAUGUCGCUGCGGGACUCCCGGUAAAUAUCCGUCCGUCCGCUGCGGGUGAUGCGAAGGACGCUCGCGAAAGGCGCCGUUCCGCUCCGUAACACAUAGCACCCACUCGCGGGCGGGCACGCGCGCACCGGGAGGAGGACGAAAAGGAAACGCCGACUUUUCGACCCCCGCCUUCCGAAAGGAGAAGCCUU
Molecule: long non-coding RNA, 351 nt
Filed under: Chrysolophus pictus (golden pheasant)
Lineage: Eukaryota; Metazoa; Chordata; Aves; Galliformes; Phasianidae
Description: lncRNA (ENSCPIG00010014900.1)
Source: RNAcentral